GUUCGAUCAUGGCUCAGAUUGAACGCUGGCGGGAUGCUUUACACAUGCAGGUCGAACGGCAGCACGGACUUCGGUCUGGUGGCGAGUGGCGAACAGGUGAGUAAUGUAUCGGAACGUACCUAAUGCUGAGGAUAACUACGCGAAAGCGUAGCUAAUACCGCAUACGCCCUCGAGAAGCAGGGGGACCUUCGGGCCUCGCACUAUUGAAACGGCCGAUAUCGGAUUAGCUAGUUGGUGGGGUAACGGCUCACCAAGGCGACGAUCGUAAGCUGGCGUUUAGAGAGGACGACCAGCCACACUGGGACUGAGACACGGCCCGAACUCCUGGGAGGCAGCAGUGAAAUUUUGGACAAUGGGGGGAAACCCUGAUCAGCCAUCCCGCGUGUGCGAUGAAGGCCUUCCCGGGUUGUAAAGCACUUUUGGCAGGAAAGAAACGGCACAGGAUAAUACCCCGAUGCAACUGACGGUACCUGCAGAAUAAGCACCGGCUAACUACGUGCCCAGCAGCCGCGGUAAUACGUAAGUGCAAGCGUUAAUCGGAAUUACUGGGCGUAAAGCGUGCGCAGGCAGUUUCGGAAAGAAAGAUGUGAAAUCCAGAGCUUAACCUGGAACUGCAUUUUUAACUACCGAGCUAGAUUGUGUCAGAGGGAGAGUGGAAUUCCGCGUGUAGCAGUGAAAUGCGUAGAUAUGCGGAGGAACACCGAUGGCGAAGGCAACCUCCUGGGAUAACACUGACGCUCAUGCACGAAAGCAGUAAGAGCAAACAGGAUUAGACACCCUGGUAGUCCACGCCCUAAACGAUGUCAACUAGCUGUUGGGGCCUUCGGGCCUUGGUAGCCUCCGGCUAACAUGAAGUUGACCUGGGAAGUACAGUCGCAAGAUUAAAACCUCGAAGAAAUUGACAAGGGACCACACAAGCGGUGGAUGAUGGUUAAUUCGAUGCAACGCGAAAAACCUUACCUACCCUUGACAUGUCUGGAAUCCCGAAGGGGUUGGGAGUGCUCGCAAGAGAACCGGAACACAGGUGCUGCAUGGCUGUCGUCAGCUCGUGUCGUGAGAUGUUGGGUUAAGUCCCGCAACGAGGCACUAGCCCUUGUCAUUAGUUGCUACGAAAGGGCACUCUAAUGAGACUGCCGGUGACAAACCGGAGGAAGAUUGGGGAUGACGUCAAGUCCUCAUGGCCCAUAUGGGUAGGGCUUCACGUCCAUGCAAUGGUCGGGACAGAGGGUCGCCAACCCGCGAGGGGAGCCAAUCCAGAAACCCGAUCGUAGUCGGAUCGCAGUCUGCAACUCGACUGCGUGAAGUCAGGAAUCGCUGGUAAUCGCGGAUCAGCAUGUCGCGGUGAAUACGUUCCGGGUCUUGUACACACCGUCCGUCACCAUGGGAGUGGGUUUUACAGAAGUAGUUGGCCUAACCGUAAGGCGAUUACCAUUGAAGUUCAUGACUGGGUGAAGUCAUAGCUAAGGUAA
This 1469-nucleotide ribosomal RNA is filed under the name uncultured Bordetella sp. Its description in RNAcentral is "partial 16S-23S ribosomal RNA intergenic spacer". It matches the Rfam family "Bacterial small subunit ribosomal RNA". Lineage: Bacteria; Pseudomonadati; Pseudomonadota; Betaproteobacteria; Burkholderiales; Alcaligenaceae. The record is from RNAcentral.